Molecule: long non-coding RNA, 896 nt
Organism: Hyposmocoma kahamanoa
Lineage: Eukaryota; Metazoa; Arthropoda; Insecta; Lepidoptera; Cosmopterigidae
Exons: 6
Source: RefSeq, a predicted model, not a curated record
GGUGCCGGUGAUGAUUUUAUACCGAUUUAUCGGAUAUCGAAGUUAUAACAGGCUGCCACAUUUCAAUGUUUGGUAGAAGUAUUGUACUGUGAAUGGCCAUGGCGAUUUAAAAAAUUUCGAGUGAGAAAAUGGAUAAUAUCUAUAAUAAUUUCAGUAAUUAUAUUAGGGCUAUACUUCGUAACACCAUUUUAUGCGCGAAUGUAUCUUUAUGGAGUCAGUCAGGUACUGUCGUGCCUAUUAGAAAUACUCAUAAUAACACUUUUCUACCCAAUUGGUAGAUUAAUGGACGACAUUACCUUCCACCAUGGUUCUCCACCGGCGAAAUUAAGAUUCUAUACAUUAUUAAUUUUUCCUGUCUAUUACACCUUCAAAUCGUAUAAAAUUUUGCGCUCCCUGAUAACAUUUCCUUCUAUGGAUUUUUACAAACUGCAAUCUUUUAAAACGUUGCAAAGUCAAUUGGGUUCAUUCAUCCAUAUAUAUUGGCUAAUAAGUAUUAUUCCUUUAGCAUUGGGCUUUGUCUAUGCUAUUGUCAAACACGUCUUUAUAAAUAAAAAGAAAUGUAGCAGUCUCCUACGACCGCGACCUACUUGGGGUCCUCGAGACCACGUUACAAGACAACUGAGGAAGCAGUACGACUCCAGAGAUUACAUCCCAUCGCAUGCUUCGCGGUACCUAGCGAGACACAUGCUGGCAAAAGCAGAGGCGGCAACUUAUCGCCUGGAUAUUCGAUACGAGUCAGCGGCUGAACACAAACAAUCUAUUGUCAAGGACUCUUUUAAAAUGGAACAAGAAAAUAAAUAAUAUAGAUUUAAAAAUCGCAAAGCACAUUAUAUAAUUCAUAUAAAUCUAACAAACUCGUGGCAAAAAAUAAUAAAAAUCAAGCAAUCUCAAUCUGA